GAGCCUGGAGAAUAAGAGGCAGCCAGAUUUGAUCAUAGGAAAGGGAGGAUAGCUCUGGUUCCCUUGAUCAAGAGCCCUUCAUUAGAAUCAAAGUACCUCCCUUGAAGGAAAAGACUAGUGUAAAAUGUACAAUUUGCAAAGUAGAAAGAUCUACAUAGGGUUUAGAGCUUUUAUGUCAAUACUGUAUAACAAUAACUGCUAUUUUCAAAUAGUUAUUUUGAGUACUCUAUUUGAAUUGUUAAAAGUUUCUGAAUACAGCCUCUCCUCACUUAACAAUGGAGUUCCGUUCCUAAGACCAUGUUGGUAAGUGAAUUUGUCGCUAAGUAAGGAGCAUACUACAAUGGUAAAGGGUUUGUGUCAACCAUCAUUGAGACUGUUUUAAUGUCACCUUUGCAUCAUUUAUAGCAUUUCUGGGAUAUUUUUAAAUGUUUAUACAGUAGUGUAUUGUAUACUGUAAUAAACAGAAUAGAGAAAAAUCAGCUCUUAAUAUACAUUAUUUAGGUAUGCAUACUGGCCAGAGAGCCUGUCGUAAGUACGAGUCGUUGGUAAACGAGCGCAUGACUAAGUGAGGAAAGGCCGUAUUUAAUAUUUUUAAAUUUAGAGACUUUACUGUAUAUCAGGCAUUUAAUAUUUAUUCCCUUUCAGGAUGAUCCAAUGGCUUACAAUAAUACUAAAGACAACAGCUGUAACAUUAAUCUUCUAAGUUAUAUCUUAGCAUCUUAUAAAGAAAGAGUAUCAUAAUGUUGAGGGAAACAACGAAUGGUCAGUGAUUAGAGAUCAGUCAAGAGUGAAUCAAACUCGGGGAGAACAACAGUUGAAAAGUGAACAAGAGGAGAGAGAAUGGCAACACAAAGCAAAACAAGACAAGAACGAUUAAAGCUUCAAGAAAUGAAAGGAAGCUCCAAGAAAAAUGGAAACAGAUGAAAGACAGAAAGUUAGACAGAACUGCAGGAUUUUGAAAAUGCUAAAUAGAUGAGAAAGUAAUUCAUGACUUAGUAACAUUAAAUAUCUGGCUUCUGUUGAGUGAUACAUAUUUUAGAUACUUCGGUUCUAAAAGAUUGUACAAGAGCCCUUUACUAGCUUCGUCACUCUUUGUCCCCCCACACCCUUGAAUACAGGACAGGAAAAAAAAAGAACUGCCUUAUCCAGUGAAAGCUGACUAUAGGGACUAGAAACCCUAAUCUCCCCAAAAUUUCAUUUCAAGAAAAUACUAAAUGCACUGAGCCUGUGAAACUUCCACCCCAUCCUACUGGGCUGAGAGUGAAGGAAAAUCAAAUAGGACUCGCAAUAAAUUUGUUAUAACUUAAUCUUUAUUUUUAUAAAAGCAAAAGUGCUAAGCCUGUAUGAAUUAAAGAGCUGCACUUUUAAAUUUCUUGCAGAUAUUUUUUCAAUACUUGUAUUAUGCUGUAUCAAAUGCCACUCAGUCUUCAAGCAAAGACACUGUGUGAUCCCGAUAAUUUAAAUUGAAACAAAUGUCAAUUUUUGUGCUUGUUCCUCCAUAUGUCAUCAUCUGCAAAAGAAAAGAAAAUACAAUACUGUACUUC
Cherax quadricarinatus is the source of this 1544-nucleotide non-coding RNA. The record is from RefSeq and is a predicted model, not a curated record. NCBI's taxonomy places the organism in Eukaryota, Metazoa, Arthropoda, Malacostraca, Decapoda, Parastacidae.